This 497-nucleotide ribosomal RNA is filed under the name uncultured bacterium. RNAcentral describes it as "partial 16S ribosomal RNA". It matches the Rfam family "Bacterial small subunit ribosomal RNA", at positions 28 to 507 of the family's 1533-position model. The record is from RNAcentral.
GACGAACGCUGGCGGCGUGCCUAAUACAUGCAAGUAGAACGCUGAAGCUUGGUGCUUGCACCGAGCGGAUGAGUUGCGAACGGGUGAGUAACGCGUAGGUAACCUGCCUGGUAGCGGGGGAUAACUAUUGGAAACGAUAGCUAAUACCGCAUAAGAGUAGAUGUUGCAUGACAUUUGCUUAAAAGGUGCAAUUGCAUCACUACCAGAUGGACCUGCGUUGUAUUAGCUAGUUGGUGAGGUAACGGCUCACCAAGGCAACGAUACAUAGCCGACCUGAGAGGGUGAUCGGCCAAACUGGGACUGAGACACGGCCCAGACGCCUACGGGAGGCAGCAGUAGGGAAUCUUCGGCAAUGGACGGAAGUCUGACCGAGCAACGCCGCGUGAGUGAAGAAGGUUUUCGGAUCGUAAAGCUCUGUUGUAAGAGAAGAACGAGUGUGAGAGUGGAAAGUUCACACUGUGGCGGUAUCUUACCAGAAAGGGACGGCUAACUACGUG